UAAGAAUUAGUUAAAAUAUAAUAUAAACUUGUCAUGUUUAAGUUGAAAAUCAUUCUUAA
This 59-nucleotide transfer RNA is filed under the name Proasellus escolai. RNAcentral describes it as "transfert RNA-D(GAC)". Lineage: Eukaryota; Metazoa; Arthropoda; Malacostraca; Isopoda; Asellidae. The record is from RNAcentral.